RNAcentral lists this transfer RNA (69 nucleotides) under Ictidomys tridecemlineatus (thirteen-lined ground squirrel). Its description in RNAcentral is "Spermophilus tridecemlineatus (thirteen-lined ground squirrel) tRNA". It matches the Rfam family "tRNA". Rfam says of the family: Transfer RNA (tRNA) molecules are approximately 80 nucleotides in length. Their secondary structure includes four short double-helical elements and three loops (D, anti-codon, and T loops). The record is from Rfam by way of RNAcentral. Lineage: Eukaryota; Metazoa; Chordata; Mammalia; Rodentia; Sciuridae.
GGGGUUGUGGCUCAGCGGUAGAGCACUUGCCUAGCAUGUGUGAAGCCCUGGGUUCAAUUCUCAGCACCA